This 22-nucleotide small nuclear RNA is filed under the name Arabidopsis thaliana (thale cress). RNAcentral describes it as "snRNA_18997". Lineage: Eukaryota; Viridiplantae; Streptophyta; Magnoliopsida; Brassicales; Brassicaceae. The record is from RNAcentral.
UCCCUCAGGAUAGCUGGAGCUC